GCCCGUGUGGCGAAAUUGGAUAUCGCUUCGGACUUCUAAUCCGAGGAUUCAGGGUUCGAGCCCCUGCUCGGGUA
This is a transfer RNA of Absidia repens, 74 nucleotides long. It matches the Rfam family "tRNA". From Rfam's summary of the family: Transfer RNA (tRNA) molecules are approximately 80 nucleotides in length. Their secondary structure includes four short double-helical elements and three loops (D, anti-codon, and T loops). The record is from Rfam. NCBI's taxonomy places the organism in Eukaryota, Fungi, Mucoromycota, Mucoromycetes, Mucorales, Cunninghamellaceae.